UGUGUGUGUGUGUGUGUGUGCGUGUGUGUGUGUGUUUGUAGAAAUUUUAGGCUGUGUGCGCGUGCGUGUCUGGAUGCUGUCUUCUUGUCUUACUCAGUGUGUGUUCCCUCAGCUGUCUGAACCAAUAGCCAAGCAUACCUCUCCCCCUGUCAGGCCUUUCUCUACUGCCUCCCUCCCAGGACCACACGCAUCCUGGCUCGUAGUUAUUCUAAAUAGCCCUCUGGAGGACCUUACCCAAGCCCUAUGUCCCUCCCUCCCCCCCAUGCACCACCCUCCUCCCAGAGCCAGAGUCGGACCCCCCCUCACCUCCGAGUCCAGGUUCCAGAGACCUGUGCAUCUCCGGUCCUCCCCAGCCAGUUCGCCUCUGUUUUCUCCCAUUAGCAUUCUGCUGCCAUGGCAACACAAAGCCACUUCUCCCGUGGACGUGAGGUGUCGAUAACACAAGCCGGGUUUACGCCUCCAACCAUGACUCCCCUGGUUUAUAACUCAAACGAUGACUCAGCUGGUUUGUAACUCCAUUCCUCAGGUCAGACUGCAGCUACACUUCCUCUGCACUGUCUGAGCAACACUGGUGUUUAAAUCGGGCAUCCUUUCCUUACAGUCACUACCAGUAGAAGAGGAGACACUUGGCAACAAAGAGAUUGUAAAAACCCUGAGCCACUAAGUUACAUCUUUUUAUUGAGCAUGAUUUCUAAUUUAUUUUACAACUCCUGGAGCACAGAUUAUGAUUCAUGGUUGUACUGUAAUUGUUUUGUGUUUUUAGGCUAAAGAGUGUAGAUGAGUGGGUACAUUUUGUGGCCUGUGUACAUGGUAAUGCUACUGUCAAUAUUUGACAGGUUGUAUCGUAGAGACGAAAGUGCUAGUCACAUCGAUGUACCUUUUGAUUCCUGAAUGCCUGUCCUUCAGAGCUCAAUAAAGCCCUUCUCAUUCA
This is a long non-coding RNA of Osmerus eperlanus (European smelt), 931 nucleotides long. RefSeq lists it as uncharacterized. The record is from RefSeq and is a predicted model, not a curated record. NCBI's taxonomy places the organism in Eukaryota, Metazoa, Chordata, Actinopteri, Osmeriformes, Osmeridae. The transcript has 2 exons.